Molecule: long non-coding RNA, 1002 nt
Filed under: Podarcis lilfordi (Lilford's wall lizard)
Lineage: Eukaryota; Metazoa; Chordata; Lepidosauria; Squamata; Lacertidae
Source: RNAcentral
GGGCAACACACAAGUAUAAGAUUAGUGUAGACAAAUAUGUCUUAAGUACCCACCACCCAAAAGUACAAUAGAAGUUCCUUUGCCUGUCUGGAGCCUGAGGUGAGUCAGGUGAUGAGAUUUGGCUUCCUUUGGCUAACAAUCAGCUCAGCAAUUGUCACCCCUGGCCACUUCCUGGAGUCCUUUUUCAAGGGGAAAAUAGCUUUGGAAUGGAGGAAACUGGCAAGGAGUUGAUUUUAUAUUAUUUUUUAAAAGCUAGGUGACUUCCCUGAGCUGUCAAGUUGAAAGGAUACAUUCAGGCAUAAUAUUUGUAACAUUUAACAACUUUAAAGAUGUGUCUCCCCCCCCCCCGUAAUUUCCGUAACAGUGGCCAUUGCUGCUUCCUAUGGUAGCCCCAUGUAGGGGCGUGACAAGAUCCAGUCCUGGGGGGCACUGAAGAAUCUGGGGCAAGAUCCCUCUCCUCCAGAAAGGGGUGCCACCUGCACACGGGGCGGGCAUUCAGCUGCGAUGUGAGAAGUGGGUCUGGAAGGGGGCAGCCCCAAAGCAAGCGUCUCCCAGAGCCCAUCAGCGCCAGCUGGGCCUGAAAAGCGGAAGGGAGGAGGGGACAUUCUACCACAUGUGGUGGGAUUGUAAUGAAAUUAAGAAAUUUGGGAAAUGAUAUACAAUGAAUUGAAGAAAAUGUUCCAUCUAACGUUUGUCAAAAAACCUGAAGCAUUUCUGUUAGGGGUUGUAGGAAAAGACCUGCCAAGGAAGAUGAAAAAUAUCUUCAUGUAUGCGACAACGGCCGUGAGAGUCUUAAUAGCACAAGGAUGGAAAUCCCGACUAAAGAAUCAUGGCAAGAGAAAUGGAUGGACUAUGCAGAACUGGCAAAACUGACACAUAAACUACGGGACAAGGAUAACUGUGACUUUAAAGAGAAAUGGGAACCUUUUACAAAGUACCUAAAGAAGCAACAAAGUGACUUGGACUCUUUGGCAGGCUUUGAAUAAACACUGACAAACUUUU